UAAAACAACCCAGCAUUGGGUCAAUUUUAACCCAGCAGUGUGUUCUGUCCAGUAUUUACCUAUUAUGGGUCAAAAAUUACCCAGUCGUUUUUAAAAUGUGCUUAGCAUAAAAUAUAAAAUAUGGUUCUUUUGUACUAAAAAAUUGUAAUUCCACAUCCUGUGGAAAUGGAGAUUUAGUCACCAUACUGGCUGUAUAACAGUGACUCUUUUCCUGUGGACACGCUCAGUGGGUACAUGGCUGUGUGAAAGAAAUAAUGUCAAGGUGACCUUAUCCAGACAGUCCUUGCUAAAAAAAUUACCUCAUACACAUAGGAUGCCGACCUAAGUUUGAAUACCACUGACAGUCCCAAAAGUUUACUUUUCUUUUUUGCAUUUUAAAAGGGGUUACCAAUGUGUGCAGUGAGAGCAGAAAGUCUUUAAUUAAAAGCUCUCAAGCGUAUGUAAGAUACCAGCAGAGUGCGUAUAAGGGGGAUAUUUUCAACUGAACUGGAAUGAAGUUGGGUGGAUGUUGAUUUGUGUACUGCAACACAGUGCACUUCCACUUUCAGCAUUAAGUUUUAUUUAGCAUUCAUCUGAACCAAGCAGUCACCUGUGACUACCAACAAAUCAUAAUAUGAACAAGUCAAUAAGUCUAGCCAAGUGUUUAAACAUGUGCUGCUAAAAUGCUUUUUUAAAUUUUAAUGUAUUUUAUGGUUGACUUUACAAUUGGAUCACUUUGAUUUUUUGGGUAUGAUGAGAAAUUAUUGUAGUCGUGUUUGUUUGACUAGGUAUACUAAUGUCUUGGCACAUACGUUCAUUAAAUACUUUCGAUUCAUAUAGGCUGAAUUGAACUCGGGUCGCCGAAAGUGCGAAAGCACCACAUACAUGUCGGAGCGCUGCCCACUACACCAUUGGCUCCGACUGGUGUAAUUUGUUAAACGGCACAAUGAUUUUUCAACAAAGUCCUCUAAGUGCACUGAAAAUGAAUGUGAAACAACAGUGGAUCACAUUCAAACUUGUUUCGUUUGUAAGUACUUGGACCUGAAUACAAUUUGAAUGUGGCAGCCACAUGCAUCAAUUCAAUUUUUCAAUUCAAAUUUAUUUAUAUAGCGCUUUUCAACAAUUGUUAAUUGCUUCAAAGCAGCUUUGUAUUAAUAAAUGUAGGAAAAGCAUAGAAAAGCAAGCGUAGUAAUAAUGUAACGUAUACAGUAAAAUAUUAAGUUAAGCCAAUGGGGGCGGACUCUCCAGGGGAUGAAAAAAAACCCUAGGAGAAAAACCCUCCUGGCUAGUCCAGAGGGAAAACUCCUAGGAGGAGAAAAAAUCCUGAGAGAGAUACAUAUAUAUUUAUAUAUAUAAAUACUAUCUAGGUAUGUGAACGCGUAAGCGGAUUAAACUGGUUCCGCCGGUGGUCAUUGGUCAGACAUCGGCUGGGCAUCACGUUGAAUGACGGUCAGUAGAUCAGUGGUGUGAUGACCUUUACAGCAGCAGGAACUGGGUCUGUUUGUCUCAUUGUCCCCACAGUUGAGGACGAGACAGGGAGAGAGAUACAUAACCCUAUUAGCGUAGGGGCCGUUCACAUGUAAUGCAAGUGUCAUACAGUAUUGUGGUUUAAAUCAGAUCGGUUCCAGACAGGCUAACUAUUGCGGCAUAAGUAUAUUACCCAGAUGAGUUAUGUGAAUCACAGCGCCCCCUAAUGUGUGGUUCAGUUUGAUCUUUAGUUGCAUCUUUAAUAAUUUAGCAACUAUUUAUUAUUUCUUGUCCAAAGAAGUUUUUUAUUUUUAUAAGUGGGGGUUUUUGCCAAUAAAGCUUGCAUGCACUUAGAGGUUUUUGCAGCGGAAGACAGUCCAAUUUGUUAAAUACCAAUGAAAUGACUAAAGUGACAUUUGUGAAAAUAAGGCAUAUUUCAAUUACAGACUAAUAAUCUUUUAUUGCCAUUAAAGUAAAUUGACUAAAUCUAAAAGCUUGAUAAAAAAUGAUAAUUUGCAAGAAAACAUUUCAAAAGCUGUAGCUCAAUUGAUAGAGCAUAGCA
Non-coding RNA from Misgurnus anguillicaudatus (oriental weatherfish), 2008 nucleotides. The record is from RefSeq and is a predicted model, not a curated record. NCBI's taxonomy places the organism in Eukaryota, Metazoa, Chordata, Actinopteri, Cypriniformes, Cobitidae.